RNAcentral lists this microRNA precursor (138 nucleotides) under Oryza punctata. The record is from RNAcentral. Lineage: Eukaryota; Viridiplantae; Streptophyta; Magnoliopsida; Poales; Poaceae.
AGAGCAGGAUGCAGCCAAGGAUGACUUGCCGGCGCCAGCGCUAGCCACCAGCUAGCAGUACUGCCACCACCAGCCGCCGGCGAGGUUGGCCGGAGACUGGCAUCCGGCAAGUUUGUCCUUGGCUACACCUUGCUCUCU